This 253-nucleotide ribosomal RNA is filed under the name uncultured bacterium. RNAcentral's name for it is "partial 16S ribosomal RNA". It matches the Rfam family "Bacterial small subunit ribosomal RNA", at positions 524 to 776 of the family's 1533-position model. The record is from RNAcentral.
UACGGAGGGUGCGAGCGUUAAUCGGAAUUACUGGGCGUAAAGCGUGCGUAGGCGGAUGGGUCAGUCAGCCGUGAAAGCCCCGGGCUUAACCUGGGAACGGCGGUUGAGACGGCUCGUCUGGAGUGGGCUAGAGGAUCGUGGAAUUCCGGGUGUAGCGGUGAAAUGCGUAGAGAUCCGGAGGAACACCGAUGGCGAAGGCAGCGGUCUGGGGCCACACUGACGCUGAGGCACGACGGCGUGGGGAGCAAACAGG